RNAcentral lists this ribosomal RNA (397 nucleotides) under uncultured bacterium. RNAcentral describes it as "partial 16S ribosomal RNA". It matches the Rfam family "Bacterial small subunit ribosomal RNA", at positions 523 to 918 of the family's 1533-position model. The record is from RNAcentral.
AUACGUAGGUGACAAGCGUUAUCCGGAUUUACUGGGCGUAAAGGGAGCGUAGACGGCAUAGCAAGUCUGAAGUGAAAUCCCAUGGCUUAACCAUGGAACUGCUUUGGAAACUGCCAGGCUAGAGUGCAGGAGAGGUAAGCGGAAUUCCUAGUGUAGCGGUGAAAUGCGUAGAUAUUAGGAGGAACACCGGUGACGAAGGCGGCUUUCUGGAGAGUAACUGACGCUGAGGCGCGAAAGCGUGGGGAGCAAACAGGAUUAGAUACCCUGGUAGUCCACGCCAUAAACGAUGAAUACUAGGUGUAGGGGGUAUCGACCCCCUCUGUGCCGACGGUAACACAUUAAGUAUUCCACCUGGGGAGUACGGCCGCAAGGCUGAAACUCAAAUGAAUUGACGGGG